RNAcentral lists this ribosomal RNA (1820 nucleotides) under Thysanopoda orientalis. RNAcentral's name for it is "partial small subunit ribosomal RNA". It matches the Rfam family "Eukaryotic small subunit ribosomal RNA". Lineage: Eukaryota; Metazoa; Arthropoda; Malacostraca; Euphausiacea; Euphausiidae. The record is from RNAcentral.
AGUCAUAUGCUUGUCUCAAAGAUUAAGCCAUGCAUGUCUAAGUACAGGCCUAAGCAAGGCGAAACCGCGAAUGGCUCAUUAAAUCAGUUAUGGUUCAUUGGAUYUUACCCUUUCUUACUUGGAUAACUGUGGUAAUUCUAGAGCUAAUACAUGCCAACCAGUAGCUCCGACRYACUCCCNNGURYGGAAGAGCGCUUUUAUUAGAUCAAAACCAGUCCUCCCUCGGGAGGUMAAACCCCUACGUGGUGACUCUGAAUAACUUUUAGCUGAGCGCACGGYCUCCGYGCCGGCGCCGCAUCUUUCAAGUGUCUGCCUUAUCAGCUYUCGAUUGUAGGUUAUGCGCCUACAAUGGCUAUAACGGGUAACGGGGAAUCAGGGUUCGAUUCCGGAGAGGGAGCCUGAGAAACGGCUACCACAUCUAAGGAAGGCAGCAGGCACGCAAAUUACCCACUCCCGGCUCGGGGAGGUAGUGACGAAAAAUAACGAUGCGGGACUCAUCCGAGGCCUCGCAAUCGGAAUGAGUACACUUUAAAUCCUUUAACGAGGAUCYAUUGGAGGGCAAGUCUGGUGCCAGCAGCCGCGGUAAUUCCAGCUCCAAUAGCGUAUAUUAAAGUUGUUGCGGUUAAAAAGCUCGUAGUUGGAUCUCAGUUCCGGACCGACGGURCGCCGCCCGGCGUCYACUGUCGGCUUCCGAACGCUAAAGCCCGUCGGCUCGGUCGGGGUGCUCUUCAYCGAGUGUCCCGGGCGGCCGGCACGUUUACUUUGAAAAAAUUAGGGUGCUCAGAGCAGGCCRMGGCGCCUGRAUACUUGUGCAUGGAAUAAUGGAAUAGGACCUCGGUUCUAUUUUGUUGGUUUUAAGAGCCCGAGGUAAUGAUUAAUAGGARCAGACGGGGGCAUUCGUAUUGCGACGUUAGAGGUGAAAUUCUUGGAUCGUCGCAAGACGRACUACUGCGAAAGCAUUUGCCAAGMAUGUUUUCAUUAAUCAAGAACGAAAGUUAGAGGUUCGAAGGCGAUCAGAUACCGCCCUAGUUCUAACCAUAAACGAUGCUGACUAGCGAUCCGCCGGCGUUAAUCCCAUGACUCGGCGGGCAGCUUCCCGGGAAACCAAAGUCUCUGAGUUCCGGGGGAAGUAUGGUUGCAAAGCUGAAACUUAAAGGAAUUGACGGAAGGRCACCACCAGGAGUGGAGCCUGCGGCUUAAUUUGACUCAACACGGGGAACCUCACCAGGCCCGGACACCGGAAGGAUUGACAGAUUGAGAGCUCUUUCUCGAUUCGGUGGGUGGUGGUGCAUGGCCGUUCUUAGUUGGUGGAGCGAUUUGUCUGGUUAAUUCCGAUAACGAACGAGACUCUGGCCUACUAACUAGUCGUSGGGUYGUCYWGUNACCGGCYYCGGYCGGUCGCCCSUCGCAACUUCUUYUUAGAGGGAUCCGCGGCAUCUAGCCGCAAGAGACUGAGCAAUAACAGGUCUGUGAUGSCCUUAGAUGUUCUGGGCCGCACGCGCGCUACACUSAAGGGAUCRGCGUGUCCUUCCCUCUCCGAGAGGAGCGRGUARCYCGUUGAAMCCCCUUCGUGAUAGGGAUUGGGGCUUGAAAUUWWUCCCCAUCAACGAGGAAUUCCCAGUAAGYGCAAGUCAUCAGCUUGCGUUGRWUAMGUCCCUGYCCUUYGUACACACCGCCCGUCGCUACUACCGAUUGRRUGAUUUAGUGAGGCCUCCGGACYGGCGYUCCUNNNGGCGGCCUNNNUSGUCGCCUNCGAGCUGCCGGRAAGAUGUCCRAACUUGAUCAUUUAGAGGAAGUAAAAGUCGUAACAAGGUUUCCGU